Molecule: ribosomal RNA, 377 nt
Filed under: uncultured Spirochaeta sp.
Lineage: Bacteria; Pseudomonadati; Spirochaetota; Spirochaetia; Spirochaetales; Spirochaetaceae
Description: bacterial SSU rRNA
Rfam family: Bacterial small subunit ribosomal RNA
Source: RNAcentral
AAAGGUGCGUGCCGCUUGCGGCCGGCGUACAGGUGCUGCAUGGCUGUCGUCAGCUCGUGCUGUGAAGUGUUGGGUUAAGUCCGCAACGAGCGCAACCCCUGCUGCCUGUUGCCACCACGAGAGGUGGGGACUCAGGACGGGACCGCCGGUGGCAAAACCGGAGGAAGGUGGGGACGACGUCAAGUCAUCAUGGCCCUUAUGUCCUGGGCUACACACGUGCUACAAUGGCCGGUACAGAGCGCAGCGAGGCCGCGAGGCGGAGCGAAUCGCUUAAAGCCGGUCCCAGUACGGAUUGGAGUCUGCAACCCGACUCCAUGAAGUUGGAAUCGCUAGUAAUCGCGCAUCAGCAUGGCGCGGUGAAUACGUUCCCGGGCCUU